GCUCCUGUAGUGUAGUCCGGUCCAGUGGAAACCCAGUUUAUGGGUUCCCUGCGGGAACAAUCAUUCUGCCUUUUCGAGGCGGGGACUCGGGUUCGAAUCCCGGCGGGGGCA
Molecule: transfer RNA, 111 nt
Filed under: Candidatus Woesearchaeota archaeon
Lineage: Archaea; Nanobdellati; Candidatus Woesearchaeota
Description: tRNA-Glu
Source: RNAcentral